This 733-nucleotide ribosomal RNA is filed under the name uncultured Methanosaeta sp. RNAcentral's name for it is "bacterial SSU rRNA". It matches the Rfam family "Archaeal small subunit ribosomal RNA", at positions 82 to 816 of the family's 1478-position model. The record is from RNAcentral. Lineage: Archaea; Methanobacteriati; Methanobacteriota; Methanomicrobia; Methanotrichales; Methanotrichaceae.
CGAGCUGCUCAGUAACACGUGGACAACCUGCCCUUAGGUUGGGUAUAAACCCGGGAAACUGGGUAUAAUACCCGAUAGGUCUCGAUUGCUGGAAUGCAUCGAGAUUUAAAGCUCCGGCGCCUAAGGAUGGGUCUGCGGCCUAUCAGGUAGUAGUGGGUGUAGCGUACCUACUAACCUACGACGGGUACGGGUUGUGAGAGCAAGAGCCCGGAGAUGGAUUCUGAGACACGAAUCCAGGCCCUACGGGGUGCAGCAGGCGCGAAAACUUUACAAUGCUGGCAACAGCGAUAAGGGAACCUCGAGUGCCAGGUUACAAAUCUGGCUGUCGAGAUGCCUAAAAAGCAUUUCAUAGCAAGGGCCGGGCAAGACCGGUGCCAGCCGCCGCGGUAACACCGGCGGCUCGAGUGGUAACCGUUAUUAUUGGGUCUAAAGGGUCUGUAGCCGGCCGGAUAAGUCUCUUGAGAAAUCUGGCAGCUUAACUGUCAGGCUUCCAGGAGAUACUGUCUGGCUCGAGGCCGGGAGAGGUGAGAGGUACUUCAGGGGUAGGGGUGAAAUCUUGUAAUCCUUGAAGGACCACCAGUGGCGAAGGCGUCUCACCAGAACGGACCUGACGGCAAGGGACGAAAGCUAGGGGCACGAACCGGAUUAGAUACCCGGGUAGUCCUAGCCGUAAACGAUACUCGCUAGGUGUCGGCCACGGUGCGACCGUUGUCGGUGCCGUAGGGAAGCCGUG